Molecule: ribosomal RNA, 478 nt
Filed under: uncultured bacterium
Lineage: Bacteria
Description: partial 16S ribosomal RNA
Rfam family: Bacterial small subunit ribosomal RNA
Source: RNAcentral
GAUGAACGCUGGCGGCGUGCUUAACACAUGCAAGUCGAACGAGAAGUGGAGACGGAAACCUUCGGGCGGAAGACUUUAUUUCGAGUGGCGGACGGGUGAGUAACGCGUGGGUAACCUGCCUCAUACAGGGGGAUAACAGUUGGAAACGACUGUUAAUACCGCAUAAGACCACAGCACCGCAUGGUGCGGGGGUAAAAACUCCGGUGGUAUGAGAUGGACCCGCGUUCGAUUAGCCAGUUGGCGGGGUAACGGCCCACCAAAGCGACGAUCGAUAGCCGAUCUGAGAGGAUGCCCGGCCACAUUGGGACUGAGACACGGCCCAAACUCCUACGGGAGGCAGCAGUGGGGAAUAUUGCACAAUGGGGGAAACCCUGAUGCAGCGACGCCGCGUGAGUGAAGAAGUAUUUCGGUAUGUAAAGCUCUAUCAGCAGGGAAGAAAAUGACGGUACCUGAGUAAGAAGCCCCGGCUAACUACGUG